Molecule: ribosomal RNA, 400 nt
Filed under: uncultured bacterium
Lineage: Bacteria
Description: bacterial SSU rRNA
Rfam family: Bacterial small subunit ribosomal RNA
Source: RNAcentral
UGGGGAAUCUUGCGCAAUGGGCGAAAGCCUGACGCAGCGACGCCGCGUGAGUGAUGAAGGCCUUCGGGUUGUAAAGCUCUGUGGGGAGAGAAGAAUAAGGGCGACCUAAUACGUCGUUUGAUGACGGUAUCUCCUUAGCAAGCACCGGCUAACUCUGUGCCAGCAGCCGCGGUAAGACAGAGGGUGCAAACGUUGUUCGGAAUUACUGGGCGUAAAGCGAGUGUAGGCGGUCUCAUAAGUCGGAUGUGAAAGCCCUGGGCUCAACCCAGGAAGUGCACUCGAUACUGUGAGGCUAGAGUAUCGGAGAGGUUGGUGGAAUUCUCGGUGUAGAGGUGAAAUUCAUAGAUAUCGAGAGGAACAUCGGUGGCGAAGGCGGCCAACUGGACGAAUACUGACGCUG